GAGACUCUGUGCGCGUGCAUAUCAAUAAGCGGAGGAAAAGAAACUAACAAGGAUUCCCUUAGUAACGGCGAGUGAAGCGGGAAGAGCUCAAAUUUGAAAUCUUCAAGGUUCUACCUUGACGAAUUGUAGUUUAUAGAAGUGUUUUCUGUUAGUGGAGUGGCAAAAGUUCUUAGGAAUAGGACAUCAUAGAGGGUGAGAAUCCCGUAUUUGGUCAUUCCUCCUAGCGUUGUGAUACACUUUCAACGAGUCGGAUUGUUUGGGAAUGCAGUCCAAAAUGGGUGGUAAAUUUCAUCUAAAGCUAAAUAUUGGCGAGAGACCGAUAGCGAACAAGUACCGUGAGGGAAAGAUGAAAAGAACUUUGAAAAGAGAGUUAAACAGUACGUGAAAGUUGUCAAAAGGGAAGCGUUUGACACCAGUGUUGUUUUUCCGAAAAUCAAUUACGAAUGUUUUAGUUUUUGAGGAGUUAUGACUUCAUCGGCUUGCUCCUUUCUUUACUGAAACUUUCUUAAUGCACUUUUCGGUUAACAAGUCAACAUCAAUUUCUUUUGUUGUAAAAGGGUAUGAGGAAGGUGGCUUUCUUUUCGGAGAAAGUGUUUAUAGCCUUGUGCCUCUGCAAUCGAAGAGAUUGAGGUCUGCAGCGUAGAUCCUUCGGGGUUAGAUACAUUUGUGCUAAGUUAUAGCUUUUCAUAGACAACUUGUUGACUAUGUUUAGUCUUGUAGCUUACUCGCUUACUGCUAUUUUACCUACGCUUAGGAUGUUGACAGCAGUAUAGACUGU
This 778-nucleotide ribosomal RNA is filed under the name uncultured Neocallimastigales. RNAcentral describes it as "partial large subunit ribosomal RNA". It matches the Rfam family "Eukaryotic large subunit ribosomal RNA", at positions 23 to 635 of the family's 3401-position model. Lineage: Eukaryota; Fungi; Neocallimastigomycota; Neocallimastigomycetes; Neocallimastigales. The record is from RNAcentral.